This 252-nucleotide ribosomal RNA is filed under the name uncultured bacterium. RNAcentral describes it as "partial 16S ribosomal RNA". It matches the Rfam family "Bacterial small subunit ribosomal RNA", at positions 524 to 776 of the family's 1533-position model. The record is from RNAcentral.
UACGUAGGGUCCUGACGUUGUCCGGAAUUACUGGGCGUAAAGAGCUCGUAGGUGGUUUGUCGCGUUGUUCGUGAAAACUCACAGCUCAACUGUGGGCGUGCGGGCGAUACGGGCAGGCUUGAGUUCGGUAGGGGAGACUGGAAUUCCUGGUGUAGCGGUGAAAUGCGCAGAUAUCAGGAGGAACACCGGUGGCGAAGGCGGGCCUCUGGGCCGAUACUGACGCUGAGGAGCGAAAGCGUGGGAGCGAACAGG